UCCGGCUUAUCACCGGCAGUCCCCCUAGAGUGCCCAACUAAGGGCGAGGGUUGCGCUCGUUGCGGGACUUAACCCAACACCUCACGACACGAGCUGACGACAGCCAUGCAGCACCUGUCUCCGGUCCAGCCGAACUGAAGGGAUCGAUCUCUCGUUCCCGCGACCGGGAUGUCAAAGGCUGGUAAGGUUCUUCGCGUUGCUUCGAAUUGAACCACAUGCUCCACCGCUUGUGCGGGCCCCCGUCAAUUCCUUUGAGUUUCAACCUUGCGGUCGUACUCCCCAGGCGGGGUACUUCCUGCGUUAGCGCCGGCACCCAGAGGGUCGCUCCCCCAGGCACCUAGUACCCAUCGUUUACGGCGUGGACUAC
This 367-nucleotide unclassified non-coding RNA is filed under the name uncultured bacterium. Its description in RNAcentral is "contains 16S-23S intergenic spacer region". The record is from RNAcentral.